GGACUGAGUCAUUUACUGAGACGGGACGUGAGGGCCUACUCUGCGUGCUCAGAGUUCAAGCCCAGCAGGCUGCAGCGGGCCUGACAUAUUCUGGAACAGCAGCACAGUCUUUAGAUGACUCCUCUGAAGAUGAAAACAUGGUGAGUUCUUCUCAAGAGAAGCAGUACAGGUGUGCCUCAGCUCCACGGUCCCUCCUGCAGCCUCUGCUCCUGAUGCUAACCUCAUGUCUCCAUCACACCAAGCAGCAGACCUGGAGUGACAGACCUUUCUCCAGAGCUGCCCCCUCCCUCUGAAACCCCCCUCUCCAAAACACUAUUUGUGGCGUUUUUAAAGUCUUAUUUGCAUGAGAAUUGUUGAUCAUAACAUUUCCAGCAGAUGCCUUAAUGUAAUGUUUGUGCACAAUAAAUGACAUUGUUCAUAA
This is a long non-coding RNA of Pleuronectes platessa (European plaice), 421 nucleotides long. RefSeq lists it as uncharacterized. NCBI's taxonomy places the organism in Eukaryota, Metazoa, Chordata, Actinopteri, Pleuronectiformes, Pleuronectidae. The transcript has 2 exons. The record is from RefSeq and is a predicted model, not a curated record.